This is a long non-coding RNA of Pomacea canaliculata, 171 nucleotides long. RefSeq lists it as uncharacterized. The record is from RefSeq and is a predicted model, not a curated record. The transcript has 3 exons. NCBI's taxonomy places the organism in Eukaryota, Metazoa, Mollusca, Gastropoda, Architaenioglossa, Ampullariidae.
AGUGAUAAGAUGGUAGAACUGUGACAAGAAGAUGUACAUCAUCGUUUUUAUAAUAGCUGCACUGUGCGCUCAGGUAAGCUCACAUUAUGGCUGUUUUCUCAACUACACUGAAAAAACUUUGAAGAUUUCUAUACCUGAAAAGAUUUCAUAUGGUGAAACAUUGUUUACAAC